RNAcentral lists this ribosomal RNA (921 nucleotides) under Staphylococcus aureus. RNAcentral's name for it is "partial 23S ribosomal RNA". It matches the Rfam family "Bacterial large subunit ribosomal RNA", at positions 639 to 1561 of the family's 2925-position model. Lineage: Bacteria; Bacillati; Bacillota; Bacilli; Caryophanales; Staphylococcaceae. The record is from RNAcentral.
UGCAAGGUUAAGCAGUAAAUGUGGAGCCGUAGCGAAAGCGAGUCUGAAUAGGGCGUUUAGUAUUUGGUCGUAGACCCGAAACCAGGUGAUCUACCCUUGGUCAGGUUGAAGUUCAGGUAACACUGAAUGGAGGACCGAACCGACUUACGUUGAAAAGUGAGCGGAUGAACUGAGGGUAGCGGAGAAAUUCCAAUCGAACCUGGAGAUAGCUGGUUCUCUCCGAAAUAGCUUUAGGGCUAGCCUCAAGUGAUGAUUAUUGGAGGUAGAGCACUGUUUGGACGAGGGGCCCCUCUCGGGUUACCGAAUUCAGACAAACUCCGAAUGCCAAUUAAUUUAACUUGGGAGUCAGAACAUGGGUGAUAAGGUCCGUGUUCGAAAGGGAAACAGCCCAGACCACCAGCUAAGGUCCCAAAAUAUAUGUUAAGUGGAAAAGGAUGUGGCGUUGCCCAGACAACUAGGAUGUUGGCUUAGAAGCAGCCAUCAUUUAAAGAGUGCGUAAUAGCUCACUAGUCGAGUGACACUGCGCCGAAAAUGUACCGGGGCUAAACAUAUUACCGAAGCUGUGGAUUGUCCUUUGGACAAUGGUAGGAGAGCGUUCUAAGGGCGUUGAAGCAUGAUCGUAAGGACAUGUGGAGCGCUUAGAAGUGAGAAUGCCGGUGUGAGUAGCGAAAGACGGGUGAGAAUCCCGUCCACCGAUUGACUAAGGUUUCCAGAGGAAGGCUCGUCCGCUCUGGGUUAGUCGGGUCCUAAGCUGAGGCCGACAGGCGUAGGCGAUGGAUAACAGGUUGAUAUUCCUGUACCACCUAUAAUCGUUUUAAUCGAUGGGGGGACGCAGUAGGAUAGGCGAAGCGUGCGAUUGGAUUGCACGUCUAAGCAGUAAGGCUGAGUAUUAGGCAAAUCCGGUACUCGUUAAGGCUGAGC